GUGGGGAAUCUUAGACAAUGGGCGCAAGCCUGAUCUAGCCAUGCCGCGUGAGCGAUGAAGGCCUUAGGGUUGUAAAGCUCUUUCGUGGGGGAAGAUAAUGACUGUACCCCAAGAAGAAGCCCCGGCUAACUCCGUGCCAGCAGCCGCGGUAAUACGGAGGGGGCUAGCGUUGUUCGGAAUUACUGGGCGUAAAGCGCACGUAGGCGGACUGGAAAGUCAGGGGUGAAAUCCCGGGGCUCAACCCCGGAACUGCCUUUGAAACUCCCAGUCUUGAGUUCGAGAGAGGUGAGUGGAAUUCCGAGUGUAGAGGUGAAAUUCGUAGAUAUUCGGAGGAACGCCAGUGGCGAAGGCGGCUCACUGGCUCGAUACUGACGCUGAGGUGCGAAAGCGUGGGGAGCAAACAGGAUUAGAUACCCGAGUAGUCC
Molecule: ribosomal RNA, 425 nt
Filed under: uncultured bacterium
Lineage: Bacteria
Description: partial 16S ribosomal RNA
Rfam family: Bacterial small subunit ribosomal RNA
Source: RNAcentral